GCCAGCAUGGCAUAGUGGUUUGAGUGUUGAACUACAAUGCUGAAGACCAGGAUUCGAUUCCCUGCUCAGUCA
This is a non-coding RNA of Phrynosoma platyrhinos (Desert horned lizard), 72 nucleotides long. NCBI's taxonomy places the organism in Eukaryota, Metazoa, Chordata, Lepidosauria, Squamata, Phrynosomatidae. The record is from the annotation of a GenBank genome assembly.